ACAGUCACCAUCAGACCAUCAGACGGACAGGCUCUGUGUCACUUUUUUUACUGUUCCUUAUAGCUGGAUGAUAGAUGAUUUCUUGAUGUGGUUUUAUGGUUGACCAGAUUUGUUAUCUUGUUGUUGUGAUACUGUGAUGACUGUGGUAAAGAAAUGACGUUUAUAUUUUCAGGUGGAGAAGUUUAUGAUGUAAAACUGACAUUCUGUGAAUCAUCCAAACACUGUUCCUCUGCUACCUGUAGGUGCUGUUUCCUCCAGUCAUUUCAUCCUAACACUGUUCCUCUGCUACCUGUAGGUGCUGUUUCCUCCAGUCAGUUCAUCCUAACACUGUUCCUCUGCUACCUGUAGGUGUUGUUUCCUCCAGUCAUGAUGGGAUCUCUGCAGCAGAGGUGGAGCUGAGAGUCAGACCAGGAGACAAUGUCACUCUCUACUGUGACUGUAUCAUAACUACUGGAGUAUACAUUAUGUGGUAUAGGAACUGUUCUCAGAAGUACCAGCCUCCUCUAGUUAUUUCAACUAAGUUUUUAAGUUCCAUCUCUCUACCUGGAUGUCAUGUGGUGUGGAACCCCUCUAACAACUCCUAUGAUCUACUGAUUGAGAACAUCACUGAAUCUGAUCUGGGACUCUACUACUGUGGGACUGUGGAGACGAACCUGGUUGGAGAAGGAAAACCAUUUAUACGUAAAGAGUUGUACCACUACGGAAACAUCACCACUAGGAUUUCAUUUGAAACCAGUCCUCCCGAGCACUCCUCUUCCCCUCCACUUCCUGAAGACUGUGAUGAUGUCAGAACACCUGAUGUCGACUGUGGGCUGUGUUGGAUGUUGCUGUUCUGUCUGUGUCCUGUGUCUGCUCUCCUCCCUCCUCUCCUCCACUUGCGUCUACUCCUUCUACAAACAACAGCUCCAGCUGAGACUCCACCAGGGGAAGUGACAGCAGAGAGCAGACUACAGUCAAAAUGGGUGUUGUAGUUUUAUUAUGGGUAGCCAUCUUGAUUUGUAGUCCAUGUAUUAGUCUUGGCCUAUUUCUCUGUCUGUCUGUCUCUCUCUCUAUCUGUCUCUCAGGAAGAAGGACCUGUUUUAUGCAUUGUUGGAUAUCCGUCAGGAACAGAGGAGACCAAAGAAGAAGAAGAGAGUCCAGAACUCUGACUUCAGUACCUACUCAGCCAUCAAUACCAGCAGAGUGUGAGACCUAUACCAGUCAUCAAUACCAGCAGAGUGAGACCUAUACCAGCCAUUAAUACCAGCAGAGUGAGACCUAUACCAUCCAUCAAUACCAGCAGAGUGAGACCUAUACCA
Non-coding RNA from Salmo salar (Atlantic salmon), 1298 nucleotides. The record is from RefSeq and is a predicted model, not a curated record. NCBI's taxonomy places the organism in Eukaryota, Metazoa, Chordata, Actinopteri, Salmoniformes, Salmonidae.